This 460-nucleotide ribosomal RNA is filed under the name uncultured bacterium. RNAcentral's name for it is "partial 16S ribosomal RNA". It matches the Rfam family "Bacterial small subunit ribosomal RNA", at positions 338 to 795 of the family's 1533-position model. The record is from RNAcentral.
CCUACGGGAGGCUGCAGUGAGGAAUAUUGGUCAAUGGACGCAAGUCUGAACCAGCCAUGCCGCGUGCAGGAAGACGGCUCUAUGAGUUGUAAACUGCUUGUGUACGAGGGUAAACGCAGAUACGCGUAUCUGUCUGAAAGUAUCGUACGAAUAAGGAUCGGCUAACUCCGGGCCAGCAGCCGCGGUAAUACGGAGGAUUCAAGCGUUAUCCGGAUUUAUUGGGUUUAAUGGGUGCGUAGGCGGUCGGAUAAGUCAGAGGUGAAAGCCCGAGGCUCAACUUCGGAAUUGCCUUUGAUACUGGUCGGCUAGAGUGUGGUAGCGGGAGGCGGAAUGUAUGGUGUAGCGGUGAAAUGCUUAGAGAUCAGGCAGAACACCGAUUGCGAAGGCAGCUUACCGGGCUACUUCUGACGUUGAGGCACGAAAGCGUGGGGAGCAAACAGGAUUAGAUACCCUGGUAGUC